UAGCUAAGUACACUUGAUAGAGAAGCA
RNAcentral lists this non-coding RNA (27 nucleotides) under Mus musculus (house mouse). The record is from RNAcentral. Lineage: Eukaryota; Metazoa; Chordata; Mammalia; Rodentia; Muridae.